Long non-coding RNA from Dromaius novaehollandiae (emu), 236 nucleotides. RefSeq lists it as uncharacterized. Lineage: Eukaryota; Metazoa; Chordata; Aves; Casuariiformes; Dromaiidae. The transcript is spliced from 3 exons. The record is from RefSeq and is a predicted model, not a curated record.
GGGGGGCCGGGGGGGUGGGGCAGCGUCGGGCAGCGCCGGGGGGCAGCGGAGCCAGGGCCCCCCCGCGCCCCUCCCGCCGGGAUGGAGAAGGGGCAGCCCCCCCAGGUGCUGCCGCCCCCCUCGGAGCCCCCCCAGAACGGCCCGGGCCCCCCCACCAGCCCCACGGCCCCGGGGGGUGAGAGCUGGGGGGGCUGGGGGUCCCCUGGGGGGGAGGUUCCCUGGGGGGGGUCCCUGGG